This is a long non-coding RNA of Megalops cyprinoides (Indo-Pacific tarpon), 909 nucleotides long. RefSeq lists it as uncharacterized. The record is from RefSeq and is a predicted model, not a curated record. NCBI's taxonomy places the organism in Eukaryota, Metazoa, Chordata, Actinopteri, Elopiformes, Megalopidae. The transcript is spliced from 3 exons.
CACUGAUGGGAUGAUUUUCCCAAAACGUCGCAGUGAACUGGUCCUCAAAGUCAAUCACUGUUUUAUCCAUAAGCUUUAUUACUGGUCCUCAAGCCAUAAUGGGAAGGGAGAUUUAUUAAUGCUCAGGGCAUGCUGUAAUUUUGUGUUGUGUUAAAUGUGGUACAUGUUUCAAACAACUGGGGCAUUAGAUUACACCAAAAAGCAAAAUCCGUUGAUAGAAAUAACAGUAUUAAAAGAAUGUGUGCCAGUGACGACAACAACAAGACUGUUUCAUUUGUUUCAUCCAUCAUUUUUGGACCUAGGAACUGAUUUGAGUGGGAGUGGGAAGUCUGAUCAUUCCUGUGUAAAUGGUGUCUCCGGUGCAGGGGACAGCAAGAAGCCUCCACCAUGUGGGAAUGCAGCAGGAGCAGUUUGCCAAACACAUGAUAGCAAGAAAGGCCACAGACGUCUGGGUGGAACAGAACGACUGUGGUCUCUGCCAGAUGUCCCUCCAGAAACGUAACUCCUCCCACUCUAUAUUCCAGCAUAGCCUCCUGUGACCUCAACACAAUGCAUGACAUUCAUGAUAUCUCCUUACUGUGGACCUACAGUAUUCAUCUUGGUUUAGCCAAACAAGCCUCCACUGUACCCACAGAUACUUUGCUGUCACAUAAAAAGCUGGAAGUUGCUCUCGACAGGAGCGUCUGCUAAAUGAAUGUAAUGCAACGUUAAUGAGAAAGCUCCACGUAUGACAUUGGACUUGGGAAGACAUAAAGGUCAGAUGAAGCUGGAUCUGGAAAAUAUGGAAGUCUGGCGCAGUAGGGAUUACAGUCUAUAACGCAAAGGUUGCAAUGUUAAUUCCCAGAUGGGGCAAUGCUGUAAUACCCUUGAACAAGGUACUGACUCUGAAUCGCUUCAGUGAAUAUCCUA